CCGGGCGGCAGCAGUGGGGAAUAUUGGACAAUGGGCGAAAGCCUGAUCCAGCCAUGCCGCGUGUGUGAAGAAGGCCUUCGGGUUGUAAAGCACUUUCAGUGGGGAAGAAAGCCUUGGGGCUAAUACCCUCGAGGAAGGACAUCACCCACAGAAGAAGCACCGGCUAACUCCGUGCCAGCAGCCGCGGUAAUACGGAGGGUGCGAGCGUUAAUCGGAAUUACUGGGCGUAAAGCGCGCGUAGGCGGUCUGAUAAGCCGGUUGUGAAAGCCCCGGGCUCAACCUGGGAACGGCAUCCGGAACUGUCAGGCUAGAGUGCAGGAGAGGAAGGUAGAAUUCCCGGUGUAGCGGUGAAAUGCGUAGAGAUCGGGAGGAAUACCAGUGGCGAAGGCGGCCUUCUGGACUGACACUGACGCUGAGGUGCGAAAGCGUGGGUAGCAAACAGGAUUAGAUACCCUAGUAGUC
RNAcentral lists this ribosomal RNA (462 nucleotides) under Vreelandella stevensii. RNAcentral describes it as "partial 16S ribosomal RNA". It matches the Rfam family "Bacterial small subunit ribosomal RNA", at positions 341 to 795 of the family's 1533-position model. The record is from RNAcentral. Lineage: Bacteria; Pseudomonadati; Pseudomonadota; Gammaproteobacteria; Oceanospirillales; Halomonadaceae.